AGGGUUUGAUUAUGGCUCAGAUUGAACGCUGGCGGCAGGCCUAACACAUGCAAGUCGAGCGCGAAAGCACUUCGGUGUGAGUAGAGCGGCGGACGGGUGAGUAACGCGUAAGAAUCUACCUAGUAGUGGGGGACAACUCGAGGAAACUCGAGCUAAUACCGCAUACGCCCUACGGGGGAAAGCGGGGGACCUUCGGGCCUCGCGCUAUUAGAUGAGCUUGCGUUGGAUUAGCUUGUGGGUGGAGGUAAUGGCUCACCAAGGCUACGAUCCAUAGCUGGUCUGAGAGGAUGAUCAGCCACACCGGGACUGAGACACGGCCCGGACUCCUACGGGAGGCAGCAGUGGGGAAUAUUGCGCAAUGGGCGAAAGCCUGACGCAGCCAUGCCGCGUGUGUGAAGAAGGCCUUAGGGUUGUAAAGCACUUUCAAUUGGGAGGAAAAGUUAACGACUAAUACUCGUUAGCCUUGACGUUACCUUUAGAAGAAGCACCGGCUAACUCCGUGCCAGCA
RNAcentral lists this ribosomal RNA (508 nucleotides) under uncultured OM60 clade bacterium. RNAcentral's name for it is "bacterial SSU rRNA". It matches the Rfam family "Bacterial small subunit ribosomal RNA", at positions 8 to 513 of the family's 1533-position model. The record is from RNAcentral. Lineage: Bacteria; Pseudomonadati; Pseudomonadota; Gammaproteobacteria; Cellvibrionales; Halieaceae.